GAUGAACGCUGGCGGCGUGCCUAAUACAUGCAAGUCGAGCGAACGGACGAGAAGCUUGCUUUUCUGAUGUUAGCGGCGGACGGGUGAGUAACACGUGGAUAACCUACCUAUAAGACUGGGAUAACUUCGGGAAACCGGAGCUAAUACCGGAUAAUAUUUUGAACCGCAUGGUUCAAAAGUGAAAGACGGUCUUGCUGUCACUUAUAGAUGGAUCCGCGCUGCAUUAGCUAGUUGGUAAGGUAACGGCUUACCAAGGCAACGAUGCAUAGCCGACCUGAGAGGGUGAUCGGCCACACUGGAACUGAGACACGGUCCAGACUCUACGGGAGGCAGCAGCAGGGAAUCUUCCGCAAUGGGCGAAAGCCUGACGGAGCAACGCCGCGUGAGUGAUGAAGGUCUUCGGAUCGUAAAACUCUGUUAUUAGGGAAGAACAUAUGUGUAAGUAACUGUGCACAUCUUGACGGUACCUAAUCAGAAAGCCACGGCUAACUACGUG
RNAcentral lists this ribosomal RNA (496 nucleotides) under uncultured bacterium. Its description in RNAcentral is "partial 16S ribosomal RNA". It matches the Rfam family "Bacterial small subunit ribosomal RNA", at positions 28 to 507 of the family's 1533-position model. The record is from RNAcentral.